This is a long non-coding RNA of Manis pentadactyla (Chinese pangolin), 566 nucleotides long. RefSeq lists it as uncharacterized. The transcript is spliced from 2 exons. The record is from RefSeq and is a predicted model, not a curated record. Lineage: Eukaryota; Metazoa; Chordata; Mammalia; Pholidota; Manidae.
CUCCCUGGCCCCACCCCCAGUGGUCUUGACUGAGCCGGCCUGGGUGGGACCUGGGAAUCUGUAUUUGGAUAGCCCUUCAAGGGGUUCAGAGGCCACACGCAGCCGGGCUUGAGGAUCUCGGCGCCAGUGCCGCCUGUCGGCCAGUGCCCACCCCCACCCUGCCCUCCUGGCGGGGCAACCCUUAGCUGCCCUGAGCUCCGGGCCCCACCCGGCAGCUGGCGCUGCCUCUGAGCAAUCCUAAUGGUUAGAGAAGACUUCCUGGAACUUCCUAUUUCUGUCCCCUACAGUCAUCCAGAGCAGGUCUAAUCCCUCUUCCGCGCGACAAGCCUUCGGAGAUUUGGAGGCAGCUGCCCAGCCUGUCUGCGCCUGCUCUUCUCCAGGACAGACGUUCCCUGGCCUGUCAGUGGUUCCUGACUGGGGAACGAGGAAGCCCAUCCCAGGCUGGACCACUCAGAGCGUCUCUGCCUGAUCUUGACAAUGGUGUCAUAGAGGAACUUCUUAGUUAUCAACUACUACUUGUGAAAAUACAGAAUCCUCACUGUGAAGCAGUCAAAAGUCAAAGGCAA